Molecule: ribosomal RNA, 253 nt
Filed under: uncultured bacterium
Lineage: Bacteria
Description: partial 16S ribosomal RNA
Rfam family: Bacterial small subunit ribosomal RNA
Source: RNAcentral
UACGGGGGGUGCGAGCGUUGUCCGGAAUCACUGGGCGUAAAGGGCGCGUAGGUGGCCUGAUAAGGGUGUGGUGAAAGUCCGGGGCUUAACCCCGGAUCUGCCAUGCCGACUGUUAGGCUAGAGUGCUGUAGGGGCAGGCGGAAUUCCGGGUGUAGCGGUGAAAUGCGCAGAUAUCAGGAAGAACACCCGUGGCUAAGGCGGCUCUCUAGUACGGUACUGACGCUGAGACGCGAAAGCGUGGGGAGCGAACAGG